AUCGAACGCUGGCGGCAGGCCUAACACAUGCAAGUCGAGCGGUAACAGGAAAUAGCUUGCUAUUUUGCUGACGAGCGGCGGACGGGUGAGUAACGCGUAGGAAUUUGCCCAGUAGUGGGGGAUAGCCCGGAGAAAUUCGGAUUAAUACCGCAUACGCCCUAAGGGGGAAAGCAGGGGAUCUUCGGACCUUGCGCUAUUGGAUAAGCCUGCGUGAGAUUAGCUAGUUGGUGAGGUAAGGGCUCACCAAGGCGACGAUCUCUAGCUGGUCUGAGAGGAUGAUCAGCCACACUGGAACUGAGACACGGUCCAGACUCCUACGGGAGGCAGCAGUGGGGAAUAUUGCACAAUGGGCGAAAGCCUGAUGCAGCCAUGCCGCGUGUGUGAAGAAGGCUCUAGGGUUGUAAAGCACUUUCAGUAGGGAGGAAAAGUCGAUAGUUAAUACCUAUCGGCCGUGACGUUACCUACAGAAGAAGCACCGGCUAACUCCGUCG
This 491-nucleotide ribosomal RNA is filed under the name uncultured bacterium. Its description in RNAcentral is "bacterial SSU rRNA". It matches the Rfam family "Bacterial small subunit ribosomal RNA", at positions 30 to 508 of the family's 1533-position model. The record is from RNAcentral.